This 497-nucleotide ribosomal RNA is filed under the name uncultured bacterium. RNAcentral's name for it is "partial 16S ribosomal RNA". It matches the Rfam family "Bacterial small subunit ribosomal RNA", at positions 28 to 507 of the family's 1533-position model. The record is from RNAcentral.
GAUGAACGCUGGCGGCGUGCCUAAUACAUGCAAGUCGAGCGAACGGACGAGAAGCUUGCUUCUCUGAUGUUAGCGGCGGACGGGUGAGUAACACGUGGAUAACCUACCUAUAAGACUGGGAUAACUUCGGGAAACCGGAGCUAAUACCGGAUAAUAUUUUGAACCGCAUGGUUCAAAAGUGAAAGACGGUCUUGCUGUCACUUAUAGAUGGAUCCGCGCUGCAUUAGCUAGUUGGUAAGGUAACGGCUUACCAAGGCAACGAUGCAUAGCCGACCUGAGAGGGUGAUCGGCCACACGGGAACUGAGACACGGUCCAGACUCAUACGGGAGGCAGCAGUAGGGAAUCUUCCGCAAUGGGCGAAAGCCUGACGGAGCAACGCCGCGUGAGUGAUGAAGGUCUUCGGAUCGUAAAACUCUGUUAUUAGGGAAGAACAUAUGUGUAAGUAACUGUGCACAUCUUGACGGUACCUAAUCAGAAAGCCACGGCUAACUACGUG